Molecule: long non-coding RNA, 641 nt
Filed under: Ananas comosus (pineapple)
Lineage: Eukaryota; Viridiplantae; Streptophyta; Magnoliopsida; Poales; Bromeliaceae
Description: long non-coding RNA (ACOM_LNC029391)
Source: RNAcentral
NGACGAAAUCGGGAGCACGCAAAGACAAUCCGCAGCUGCAACCCUAAACCCUCAAAAUAUACAUUUUGUAUUAAAUUAAAAAUUGAAAAUAAAAGAUUAUAGAAAUUUUAAAAAAAUGCCCUGUUUGAGUUGAAUCAUCUGUUUCGGUUGUGGCCGAAUUAGCUCCGAAAUCGUUCCCAAUUUCGGACGCUCACGACUGAAGGAAUGCGUCACAGGUACUGGGAUGGACAGGGGAGCAGUUGAGAGGCGACCUCCUACCAAUGGAGAAAGGCGAGGCCGAGAGACACCUUCGAGACGGCUUCGGACACGAGAUGUGUGGAACGAGCGCUGCCGAACUUCUGCCCGAUGGAGUGGAGUGCCCUGCGAGCGAGAGCGAGAGAAAGAGAAAGGGGAGAGCGCGAGAUGACGAGAGGCGAGGGAGCGAGAGAAAGCGAGGAAGCGAGAGAGAGCGAGAAACAGAGAUAGCGAGAGGAGCUGUGCGGGAGAGAGAAGUGUAGUAGGGUUUAAUUUAAGUUAGCUUUAGCAAGAUGUAAAAAAGGUGUGAGGUUAGAAGCUACUGUGCUAGUGGGUUAAUAUCAGCCAUUGGAUCUGAUAGUUGUAGGAUAUACACCUUCCUAUAGGAGUACAGGUAGACUUUUCCU